UCCCAAGUGGUCCAGUGGUUAGGACUCUGCCCUUCCACUGCAAAGGGCACAGGUGCAAUCCCUGGUUGGGGAA
This is a non-coding RNA of Bos taurus (domestic cattle), 73 nucleotides long. NCBI's taxonomy places the organism in Eukaryota, Metazoa, Chordata, Mammalia, Artiodactyla, Bovidae. The record is from Rfam.